UUUAUUCAUUUUGGGAAUGAACGGAGUUUUCAGAACGCUGGUUUGUAAUUAUUAAUAAAGUUUGACUGACCUAUCUGACUAUUUUGUUGACAUUCCCUUUAUCGCAGCUCCAUCUAAAGGAUGGAUAACGUAACCCCAGCCUCUACUGUAGCGUCUAUUCUAGGCGCCUUAUAAUGCGCCUUUUAAUAUGAAAAAAGUUUUAAAACAGGCCAUUCAUUGAAGGUGCGCCUUAUAGUGCGGAAAAUACGGUAAUGAGGUUGACAACGUGCCGUGUAAGUGGUUGGUGAAUAAUGGUAUACUUGUUGGUACAAAACUGUAUUUUCAGUGAAGAGAAAUAAAUCUAAAGUUAAAGUAACUUGUUCAGCUAAAGAGCUGUUAUUGUUUUCUCUUUUUUGUUUUAGCAACAGUAAAUCUCCAUUUGGAGUUAUUUUUUGCUUAAUAGCCUCUUUUCUGUACGUUUAAAUACAAUAAAUGAGGCCUAAGGUGAUCAACUAAGGUUUUUAAGGGUAACAAUGAACUGAAAGUAAUUAGUUUUGAAAGCUGUACAAAAAAAUAUUCAAAAAUAAACUUUCUGGAUCAUCGGUCGAUGUGGACAGCUCUAUUAAAGGAGGAGCUUCGCUCAUAACUCAUAUCAUCCAGGGAUCUUCAAAGAGUCAUGGACUUUGAUGCUGUGGGCAGGAAGCAUCUCCAGUUGCAGUCAAUCUCGCAGAGAAUCUGACAAGGCCUCUGACUGAAGACUUGCCGUACGACAGUGGCAUGACUUGUGAUUUUUCUGAGACUUCAAGAAAAUGCGCGGUGGGAGGAAUGCUGCGAUGUGGCGAGGACAGCUGACUCCGCCUUGCAGCGGGAGGACAGCAGCUGGCUCAGACGGUGCAGGAUGUUGAUAAACUGCCGCUGCAGAUCAUCAGUGCGGUUCUUCGUGCAGCCUCUGAGAUGCUGGAUGUCUCAUCAGUGUCCGUCUUCCUGACUGCCAGUCAGUGUUUUACCUUCAGCAUGUGUUCAGAGACCUUCGCCUGUCUGGAGCAGGGAUCACAUGAGCUCAAUGUGCUGAUGAAACAUUUCUAAUUUUUUUUAAAAAUAAUGUGGCGGAUGUUCUUACAGAGUUGAAAUGCAUUAACAAUCUGUUGUUUUUAACUUCUCAGUAUGUUUAAAUAUGAUGAGCCGAAGCCGAUGGAGUUUACUGACCACACGAAGACGUCUAAGGAAAUUUAUGGAGCUUUAUUAGAGUUUAACAGUGAAGAGUAAAUUUAGGUUUAUCUCAGAAAUUUUCUAGAAAGAUCUUCAGAAGUCGCACAUUUUCGACUUUUGGAAAUUUUCUGAGCUUGAAAAGUCAAAAAUGUUCUAGAAAUUUCUAAGAUUAAUCUAAACAUUUCUGAGGGGUUUUUUUUUUCUUGCAAAGUUUUGGCUGGUCGAGCUCAGAAAUGUCCCUGUUUUUUCUAGAAAGUUUUGGGAGUUUUUCUGGCGGAAAUCUACUCUUCAAUGUUCUACCUACAAUUGUUGGUCAUACAGGAAUAAUGGAUGUUUUUUAUUUUAUUAUUAUUAUUAUUAUUUUUAAAACACAGCGUUCCUUCCUUAAGUUAACAGUACAGAGGAUAUGACCUCACAUGUCGUGGUCAACUAAUGUUGAUAAUCUGCAUCAUCAAACCUGGAGGCACGCUCAGGGAAACCAAAAAACCAAAAAGUAAGAAAGAUGAUAUUUUGUGAAGCUUGUGGAUUCAAGAGAAAAUUUGCAAUAAAAUGAAAGGGAAACAAGAAAGCACAUAUAACCCAAGAGUGGUUAUUAAAACUAUUUAAUCUAAAAUCAAGUUUUCACGCGUUCCAAGAGCCUCCCUGUGGAAAAUGACAGCAGUUCUACAAGCUAGUAUCAAUGGAAACGAAGAGUUUUACAACAUAAUGUUAAACUAUCAGCGGCAUAUUUUAAUGACUGCAGGACAUCAUAACCCUGGGUGGGACUAAUAGCAGGAGAUAAACAUGGCUUCCCAAUGUGGAGCAAAGGUUCGUGGAUAAAGGAAAAACAAAGAAUCACCAGGCCAUUGAUGGAAAAGGUGAACGGCAAAGCGUAAAAA
Molecule: long non-coding RNA, 2066 nt
Organism: Xiphophorus hellerii (green swordtail)
Lineage: Eukaryota; Metazoa; Chordata; Actinopteri; Cyprinodontiformes; Poeciliidae
Exons: 2
Source: RefSeq, a predicted model, not a curated record